GCAAGAUUCUAGUCGGUUAGAAUAGGAAUUGAUAUCGUGUUAUCUAUGACAAUUGUAACCGACUAGGAUUAGUUUCCAUAUCUGUAACCCUGCCCUCUGGACUAUAUAAAGAGAGGCAAGGGACCCCCCUUAGACAACUCAACUCGACACAAUUCGAUACACAGCAAUACAAUCAAACGCAGGACGUAGGUAUUACGCUCACACGGCGGCCGAACCUGAAUAAAAUCCUUAUCUGUGUCUUGCGUCAUCAUCAAGUUCGUAGCUUGUGCACCUCUCUACCGAUAAACUACAACCGUGGUAUACUCUGCCGACUAGCUGAGCUCGUUGCCAUCUUAAGACCCCACCACCGCGUGGGCGAGGACACGAGGUCCUAUAGCUGAGGUCAUCGCGGCGUACGCGUGGUCCUGCACGGGAGGCAUAGGGAGGUCACUGGUGUCGUGCAAGGCACGGGGCUCAGCACCGAGGAGGUGCAGGCAAGAUGAGAACAAAAAAAUAAGAAAAAUGAUAAAUAUACCCCCACAUGUCAGUAGUGAUUUCAUUUUUUAUGUCACUGGACUGGACAGGAAAUGGGUUGGUCCCAUCCUCAUCAACUAAAUAGAAAUUGGAGUUAGUCCUGUCAUCGUCCCAUGCAGAAACAUAGAGACUGGACCAUCUCACCCCACAUGGACUCCCAACCAAAUACAUUAGAUUCGUUUGUGUAAAAAGACAUAAUGAUGUUAAGUUUUAGUAAAGGGGGAACAAAAAGGGCCAUUAGAAGGUAAAGAAAAGGGGGAAAUG
RNAcentral lists this long non-coding RNA (777 nucleotides) under Sorghum bicolor (sorghum). RNAcentral's name for it is "long non-coding RNA (SBIC_LNC009002)". The record is from RNAcentral. Lineage: Eukaryota; Viridiplantae; Streptophyta; Magnoliopsida; Poales; Poaceae.